This 801-nucleotide ribosomal RNA is filed under the name uncultured bacterium. Its description in RNAcentral is "bacterial SSU rRNA". It matches the Rfam family "Bacterial small subunit ribosomal RNA", at positions 61 to 891 of the family's 1533-position model. The record is from RNAcentral.
GUCGAGCGAUUUACUUCGGUAAAGAGCGGCGGACGGGUGAGUAACGCGUGGGUAACCUGCCCUAUACACACGGAUAACAUACCGAAAGGUAUGCUAAUACGAGAUGACAUAAGAGAUUCGCAUGGAUUUCUUAUCAAAGCUUUUGCGGUAUAGGAUGGACCCGCGUCUGAUUAGCUAGUUGGUAAGGUAACGGCUUACCAAGGCGACGAUCAGUAGCCGACCUGAGAGGGUGAUCGGCCACAUUGGAACUGAGACACGGUCCAAACUCCUACGGGAGGCAGCAGUGGGGAAUAUUGCACAAUGGGCGAAAGCCUGAUGCAGCAACGCCGCGUGAGCGAUGAAGGCCUUCGGGUCGUAAAGCUCUGUCCUCAAGGAAGAUAAUGACGGUACUUGAGGAGGAAGUCCCGGCUAACUACGUGCCAGCAGCCGCGGUAAUACGUAGGGGGCUAGCGUUAUCCGGAAUUACUGGGCGUAAAGGGUGCGUAGGUGGUUUCUUAAGUCAGAGGUGAAAGGCUACGGCUCAACCGUAGUAAGCCUUUGAAACUGAGAAACUUGAGUGCAGGAGAGGAGAGUAGAAUUCCUAGUGUAGCGGUGAAAUGCGUAGAUAUUAGGAGGAAUACCAGUUGCGAAGGCGGCUCUCUGGACUGUAACUGACACUGAGGCACGAAAGCGUGGGGAGCAAACAGGAUUAGAUACCCUGGUAGUCCACGCCGUAAACGAUGAGUACUAGCUGUCGGAGGUUACCCCCUUCGGUGGCGCAGCUAACGCAUUAAGUACUCCGCCUGGGAAGUACGCUCGCAA